CCGCCCGUCGCUCCUACCGAUUGAAUGAUCCGGUGAAGUGUUCGGAUCGCGGCGACGCUGGUGGUUCGCCGUCCGCGACGUCGCGAGAAGUCCACUAAACCUUAUCAUUUAGAGGAAGGAGAAGUCGUAACAAGGUUUCCGUAGGUGAACCUGCGGAAGGAUCAUUGUCGAUACCUGUCCAAAACAGAACGACCGGCGAACGAAAGAUCAUCACUUCCGGYGGGCCGGUUUCCCUCGCGGAUCUCGCGCCCGCCGAUUCCGUGGUUCUGCGCGAUGUUCCCAGGAAUAGUUUCGGCUCGACUGGGUCGCGCGCAGAGCUUCCGGAUCUCACAAAACCCCGGCACGAAAAGUGCCAAGGAACAUGCAACCUAMCAGCUCGCAUCCGCCGCCCCGGAGACGGUGSGCGCGCGGAUGACAGGCUGGAUCUAAAGUCUAAAACGACUCUCGGCAACGGAUAUCUCGGCUCUCGCAUCGAUGAAGAACGUAGCGAAAUGCGAUACUUGGUGUGAAUUGCAGAAUCCCGUGAACCAUCGAGUCUUUGAACGCAAGUUGCGCCCCAAGCCUUCGGGCCGAGGGCACGUCUGCCUGGGUGUCACAAAUCGUCGUCCCCCCAUCCAUUCCGGAYAAGGGACGGAAGCUGGUCUCCCGUUUGUUACCGCAAGCGGCUGGCCAAAAUCCGAGCUCAUGACGACCGGAUCGUCUCGACAYGCGGUGGUGAAACAAAAGCCUAUUCGUCAAGUCGGUCGGUCCUGUCCAUCGCGAGCUCUCGAUGACCC
This 776-nucleotide ribosomal RNA is filed under the name Dontostemon dentatus. RNAcentral describes it as "eukaryotic LSU rRNA". The record is from RNAcentral. Lineage: Eukaryota; Viridiplantae; Streptophyta; Magnoliopsida; Brassicales; Brassicaceae.